Molecule: ribosomal RNA, 301 nt
Filed under: uncultured bacterium
Lineage: Bacteria
Description: partial 16S ribosomal RNA
Rfam family: Bacterial small subunit ribosomal RNA
Source: RNAcentral
CAGCCGCCGCGGUAAUACGUAGGUGGCAAGCGUUGUCCGGAAUUAUUGGGCGUAAAGGGCUCGCAGGCGGUUUCUUAAGUCUGAUGUGAAAGCCCCCGGCUCAACCGGGGAGGGUCAUUGGAAACUGGGAAACUUGAGUGCGGAAGAGGAGAGUGGAAUUCCACGUGUAGCGGUGAAAUGCGUAGAGAUGUGGAGGAACACCAGUGGCGAAGGCGACUCUCUGGUCUGUAACUGACGCUGAGGAGCGAAAGCGUGGGGAGCGAACAGGAUUAGAUACCCCUGUAGUCCCUGUCUCUUAUAC